This 247-nucleotide unclassified non-coding RNA is filed under the name fungal sp. RNAcentral's name for it is "partial internal transcribed spacer region". The stretch from base 1 to 46 matches the Rfam family "Eukaryotic small subunit ribosomal RNA", at positions 1786 to 1831 of the family's 1831-position model. Lineage: Eukaryota; Fungi. The record is from RNAcentral.
AAGUCGUAACAAGGUUUCCGUAGGUGAACCUGCGGAAGGAUCAUUAGUGAAUUUUAGGGCGUGCUUUCGAGCAGCCUGACCUCCACUUUCUACUCUUGUGCACCUUUUCACAUUAGGACUCUGAUUGCGCGCCUUCGGGCAAGCGGUUGUGUCCUUUUGUACCCCAUUUUAUUUUAAACCUGAGUUUAAGAAUGUAACAAAAAACCAUAACAAAAAAAAACUUUCAACAACGGAUCUCUUGGCUCUC